RNAcentral lists this small nuclear RNA (23 nucleotides) under Arabidopsis thaliana (thale cress). RNAcentral describes it as "snRNA_18517". Lineage: Eukaryota; Viridiplantae; Streptophyta; Magnoliopsida; Brassicales; Brassicaceae. The record is from RNAcentral.
CUUUAAUGACAUGAACGUUAAUA